Molecule: long non-coding RNA, 1767 nt
Organism: Rosa chinensis
Lineage: Eukaryota; Viridiplantae; Streptophyta; Magnoliopsida; Rosales; Rosaceae
Exons: 6
Source: RefSeq, a predicted model, not a curated record
UGAGAAUUUAACGAGAGUUUAUUGUAUCCCAAAGACCUAGCCAUAUCUCGGCCUAAUUGUAAAGUGGAAAGAGAAGAAAACAAAACCUAUCUCUCUCGACCUUCUCGAACCUAUCGACCCUCUCAGUCAUCUUCUUCGCCACCUUCUCUUCCCCUUCUUAUCCAAAAUGCAAAUCCUGUCCCCUCCUCACUUCUAAUCUAAAUCCCUAAAUCCAAACCACUAAUUCAAUCCCUUAGUAUCCUCCAUUUUCCUCUCAGUUUUUCAAAAUCCAUACCAAACUUUUCCGCAAUUGAAAAAAUCGGAUUUGAACUGAAUGCUCUAGGGUUCUGAGUAAUCGAGCAGCAGUGAGAUGAGCGACAACAUGGAAAGUUCAAAUUUCGAGCCUUUUGAGCAUGACAGCUGUGCUGAGGCUGUUACCUCAAUUCCCGAUUCUUCUAGAGUUGAGGGUGCGGUGUCGCCGCUGCUGAACGUCGUCUUUUCGGAACCACAGAAGAGCUACACGGGGAUGAAUCUAACGACGAUGAGGAUAACCCCGAUGGGUUCAAACCUUACACACCUUCAAGCUCGCCACAAUUCCUUUACCGCAACCCGUCUUCUUCUUUCUGCUCCGUUUUCAAACCAUUAUACAAAACCUUCCUCUACUGCCAUAGCCACACACCAAGCCCUCAAGUUCCUCUCUUUUUCGUCACAGCACCAAAAGCAACAAUGCCCAAAUGAGAAAGGUAUGAAACCGCAGUUUAAAGCGGUAGAUUUCAAGUGGAUAAGGAGAACAAGGAUGUUGUUGCUUGGUAUUGCAACCUAGUUUCAUUGAAUUUGGGUGAUAUCUGGUAGGGCUUGAAAGGAGUUCUAGUGGACAUUGGUGGCUGGAUAAUAUAGGAAAGGCUAUUGAAGAAGGAAAAACUUAUGAAUGUAUGGGUUCUGGGCAGCUAGCAGGCUUGUUCAUAACUCUUUGGGAGGUGUAGGUAUGACAAUGAGAGUCUAUGAUCAGAUAAUGUGCUCUGUGAACUGUCACUUGGCUGCACAUUUGGAAGUUGUCCUGCAUCAGAUAAGUAUAGUUAUCUUCCUAUACAUAGAUCUAUGUAUUUCAGCUAUGAAAUGUUUAGCAUUUAUCAUUCUUAAGGUCAAUGUGUGCUAUUAUAGUUGUUCUAGUUCAGAAAUUAGGUUAAUUAUGAGAGUUGAUGAUACGAUCACGUAUCGGAAAGUUGUUUUCACUUUGGAUAGUUAGUGUUGUGAAAGCCUUGAUCAUUGUGGAAUGAUUAAUUAUUUGGUUUCCAAAUACUAUAGGGAUAUGCAGCUCGGGAGUUUGCCAAGUAGGGGGUUAAGCCAGGCGAACUAGCAGUAAUUUUCAAAGAGGCGGGUUAUUCCUAGUCCUUUUUCAUAUGACACAAAGACUAUGCCGGUAUAUGAGAGUGAGGACUAGGAAGGAAGAUAUCAGAACCAGAACCAAGGAGCCUCUUCUGCUGUAAUAAUCCAAAGCUCAAGAAGCAACAUAAAUGAGUUGGAGUGGGAUCUUAGAGCUCGAGAAGCAAGGACUAUGGAUUACCUCCUUUCAGCAUGUGAGCUACCAAGUUUGAUUCAUAGGUCUAGGUAGCAGCGGGGAAUAGCUAGGGAUGCUUUUGAUUAAUGUGUUGGUAGCAGCUACGAAUGCUUUCUUUGUUUGGUAUAUUAUCUAGUAACUUGAAUGUUUGGAUGUUUGAAAAAUGCUACUUGAAUGAUAUGGAUUAGAGUGUGGUUUUAUAUGGUAAUAUGGAGCAUUACUUUUGGAAA